CCUGCCCCGGGCCCAUCUCCGUACAGUGUCAGAAAAAUAAAUAAAAGGAAAGAGGAGCCUGGGCAGGCGGUCGGGAUCGCUUCCCUCCCUCCGCACCCGCCCUCCCUCUGUCCUUAAGGAAAUGCUACCAGACACCCCCCACCAGACACGCUCAGCCUUGGCGAGGAGCGGCCGCCGCGGCAGCGAGAACAAGGGCACCAGGGGGGUUUCCUCCCCCUCCUCCUCUCCCUCCUCUUCCUCCUCCUUCUCUCCGUCCUCCUCCUCCUCCUCCUUCUCAGCGGUGACUUUCCAGGUGGAGUCUUUGGAUUUUUUAAAAGACAACAGUAAUUGGAUCUACUUGAAAAAUUAAGUGAAUUGAUUUGUUUGGAACACUCUUUGACCAAUUCUUUAACGUUUAGCCACUGGGAAGCGACAAGACAAUCAUGCCCAUGAGAACUCUAAACCAUUCAGACCAUUUUGUCUUAGUGAAACUGACGGUUGAACUUUGCUCUAGUUGAUGGGCAAAAUUUCUCCUAGACUAUUCAUCAUCCCAAUUUCAUCCUAGUUGAAAAUAUUCAAAUGCCAUAAGAAAUCUUUAUAGAUUUGCACUUAGCUUUUGGAUGGACAUUUCUACAAUGGAGAGAACUGUGUUAUAG
Bos taurus (domestic cattle) is the source of this 635-nucleotide long non-coding RNA. The record is from Ensembl. NCBI's taxonomy places the organism in Eukaryota, Metazoa, Chordata, Mammalia, Artiodactyla, Bovidae.